AAACAUACCAGGUGAUCCAUGUAGCAUCACGCAUGUAGAACUAUACUUCAGUUACACAUGCAUGGAGGCACAUUUAGACUAUGUUGAAACCCAAAGUCGGUAUUUUGUCUCUGGUUCCAAACAACCAACAAUCCAAAUGACUUUUGAGAAUCCAAUUCAUUGACAAAUUUGGGUUUGUCUAUGCCUGUAUUCGUUAUAAAAUUAUCAAGAAGACUAAUGAGGUAGUAUAUUUGGAAGAACUUUGAGAGCCUACUUAAGAAAGCAUUACAUAAGUGCAAAGUAUUGUAAAGAAGUGAUGGUGGGAAAUGUGUUGGCUGAGGAAAUAAUUGGCAAUAGGGAGAGGCAACAUUUCUUGCAGCUGGACAGAAAAUGUUGUCAGGGAAUACUGAGCCAGGUGAAUGGAAAAAGGAUUUAGGUUUAUUGGAGGAGGAUGACAAGUGCCAGCAACUUGGAAAGAAGUGGAAAACAGAUUUGACUGUUUGGAAAAUAUUCUUCGAGAGUACAUGAUGAUAUUUGCAGAUUGUCAACUGGACAUUCACCCUAAGUUUCCCAAGUGCCAACUCUUUGCCUUUGAAUUUGAGUCAACAUAUGUUAUGGUGCAAUGAUGGUAAAAUUUGAUAUCACUAAGGAACUUAUUGCUUUUAGGAGACUUUUAAAACUACAUGAAGAUAUCCAAUAUCAAGCAAUCUUCCAUUAAUGAAGCAAUUACUGGAACAGGCUUUCACUGGGAUGUGGAGUCAAACACACUGCUUGCAGAACAACCCCUAACCAAUACAAGGCCAGGGAAUGAAAACAGGAUCUGCUCUGAAAAUGACAUCUAGAGGAUACUUAUUUGAGUGGCUCUUGUCAAACGAAGAUACAAUUAACUGUAAUGGUGGAAAACUGCCUGAUUAGAUUAUGGCACCGUCAGUGUCCUACAGAAAGGCUGGCAGACGCAUUGAGAGUGAUUGCCUGACCGCUAGCAAAAUAGAUCUCCUUUUCAAGGUAGAAGUAACUCCCACAUAGCUGAAAAG
Molecule: long non-coding RNA, 1013 nt
Organism: Canis lupus familiaris (dog)
Lineage: Eukaryota; Metazoa; Chordata; Mammalia; Carnivora; Canidae
Exons: 3
Source: RefSeq, a predicted model, not a curated record